Molecule: long non-coding RNA, 1502 nt
Organism: Zea mays
Lineage: Eukaryota; Viridiplantae; Streptophyta; Magnoliopsida; Poales; Poaceae
Exons: 5
Source: RefSeq, a predicted model, not a curated record
UUGUGAUCUUGCUUGAAGUCUAAUUUAAUUAAGAUUAGGGCACCAAUCUGAAGCCAUUUCUUAUUUAUUAUGACUCAUAAUACUUGUUGCUGCACUCUUGAAAUCUUCUGGUGUAUACUUGCAAGAAUUUCUAAUAUUACACAUUUCCUUUUAUAACCGCAUAUGACAAUUCAUCGAAGCUAACUUUUUAUUUUUACUUUGUUUCAGUCUGGCAGGAAAUAAGUUAUUCUGCAAUUCCUCAAUUAUACAUGGUUGUUCAGAUCUGAUAGCAAUGACUAAUGGUAACUGCUUGCCAUUGUGAUAGGCAUAUUGAUGUUUUUUUGUAAGUGUGCAUUUUGGAAUCAUGAAAGGUGAAAUCCGAGUUCAUGAUGGCCCCGGACACCAUAGAGAAACAAGUUCAGGAGUAUCAUACAAAACUUGUUGCGUUGGAGGAACAAUUAUCUAAGCACUGUAUGUGUUGGUUCACCAUUAUGCACACUGUAUGAAUAAGGUCGACUUCAGUAAAGUGUUAAUUAGCUAUAUGAAUUACAACUGUCAUUUCAAGAUAUUUCAAACACUCAAACGUGACCCACCCUCAAAGAUAUAUCUACAACAGGUUCUUUACAUGCAGGAGAGGACAAAAGGAUGCAGCUCCUGGAUAAACUUAUGUACAUGGAGUGAGAAUUUGUAGCAACCAAAGGGUGGGAGAGUGCAUUACAGGAACGACUACUAAAGGAGUACAUGUUGGGUGACUAUCAGGGGCGUAUUGUGGUCAAGUAAUGAAAAUAAACGAACUUGAGGUACAACUCAAUAGACCGGUUCUAGGAUCAGUACAGAAUCAUCAAUAUCAUCCGCGAAGGAAUUGAUAAAAGACAUGGAAGGGGAAUUUGCAUCGAUUAUCUGAAAGCUCAAAAGGGGAGAAGAAAACCCUUAAGACGGAACUUUCAUAUGUGAAAGAAGACCUAUCCAAAUCUUCUUCCAAAAAUAAAGCCGAGUCACUCUCGACCAGCGCCGAGGAUGGAGCGGAAUGGCUGGUGAAGAAGUUGAAGGGCAAGAUGCAGAAGCCACUGGUGGACCUGCUUAGCACAACCUCCCUGUGGGUAUGCUAGGCGAGGUCACCUCACGUGGAGGUGGACAGGAUCAAGACCAAGGUGCUCGUCUCGGCUAGCGUCACCAUUGUCAAGGCCGCCGCUGCCAAGGUCUACUUCACUACGAGGAUCAAGUGGUCGUGCAACGGGAUGCCUAUGAUGUCGUCAGGGGCGGCAUCACCGUCGACGAGUUUGCUGCACACCAAGAUGGACAAAUGGUUGCUUUCAGUUGCAGGAAUAAAUCUACAGUCAUUAGCUACCUGGGAGAUCUGUGUGCACUGUACAUCAUGUGUUUUGUGCUUCGUUGUGAGAAUGUGUAACACACAGAAGGAUUCAGAAUGUGUGCCCAUUGCAUAUGAUAUAUGUCUCGAAUACAGUACAUCCGAAGCAGAGCUCGAGUUAGCUCAAACAAUCUAUCAGAUUUUAAACUGAAGA